UAUACAAGGACAAGCUCUCUGU
RNAcentral lists this microRNA (22 nucleotides) under Sus scrofa (pig). RNAcentral describes it as "ssc-miR-381-3p". Its record names the gene ssc-miR-381-3p. Lineage: Eukaryota; Metazoa; Chordata; Mammalia; Artiodactyla; Suidae. The record is from miRBase by way of RNAcentral.